ACGUUGCCUAUAACCAAGCUUGUCUAUUUGUACUGUUUUGCCUACUUUUGGAUUUUAUCAAAUAAAGAGUUAUUUCGUCUGAUAUGAUAUAUUUUUGCAAUCUCUCUUAAUCUAAUAACCUAUGGUCACAUUCAUAGGAUAUUAAGGGGGCAUCGUUGGUGUAGAGUCCAAGAACUUUACUUAGCUAAGAUAGAUAGUAGUAUUAUAGUAUGUAUAGUAUUAUCUUUGUAACUGUGGAUUUUUGGUUCAGACCGGGAAUUAUUUGGACACUCAUAGUAGUACUUAUAGAUUUUCUAAGUUUAACCUAUAGUUUAAGAAUAUUAAUGUUAACCUAAGGUUUGAUUAUAUGACUGAUAUUAAGAAUAAUAUUUAUUAUACUAUAAGGUUUAGAUGAGGACCAAUAGGAUUUUAAGCACAUGUUAUGAAUGGGUGAUUAAGGAUUAAGUAUUUUGAGGAUUAAAUUUAAUAAGGAGAAAAGUUUGAAUGCUAUAGGGACAGUCAACAGCUUUGAAUACGUUGAAGGCUUAGUCAAGGCUGUUUACUCCAUUCAAACUUAGCUAAAAAUGUGUAAUUUCAUGUUUAAAUGUUCAGCGUGUGCCGAUAUAUCACAGCUAUAGGGGGCGAUAUAUCGCAGCACGUAGAUACGGAAAACACGAGAUGAUGCACGACAGCCUCGGGCAUACUGGCCCAGGCGAUAUAUCGCCUACAGGGGGAGAUAUAUCGCCUCCAUCAAUGUAUUUUGAAUUGUUUUGAAAUCAUUUCCCAUUCAGCCAUUCAACCUCUUGAUAAGUCCAGCAUCUUUUUGAACGAGUCUUCAGCCUCUGCUGAACGAUUAUUCAAAUAUUUUUCACCUAAAAAGCUAUUAUUUUUAUUCAAGUAAAAUCAAGAUCCUUUCAUUCCUAAACUCUAUAAAUAGGACCUAGUACCCAGCCAUUAUUCAUCUUUUUCUCUAAGUUCAGAGGCUGCUAAUGCUAAGUGAGUGUGAGAGUGUAAACACCUGGUUUGGGGAAAUCAUAAGCUUAAACAUCAUAAGCUUAUCAAACACUUUGGGAAGUAAGGUUCUAUAGUAUUUCGGUUGUUGUGUAGAUUGGUCUUACAAGUCUUUUAGGUAAACAAAAACUCUAGUUCAUUUGGUUUAUGUUAUUUCCUUUUUCAUAACCUUCUACUCAGUCUCCUAACCUCAUUCUUAUUUUGGUUAGGAAAUCUAAGUUCUUGAGCACAUAAGUUUCGGUAAGCAUGUUUUUCAAUGGUUUAUUCUUCCCAUUUCCUUUUCAUCUCUUUUCUUCAUUAGACUCACCCUGUUAUAUAUGGUUUUAGGAGUGUUCCAAAAAGUCUCAACGCUGUCCUCUUAUCCCGGUAACUUUGGAAAAUAGCUAUUAGUGGCGGUAAGGUUCGUGGAUGCUUGGAGAUUGUGUAUCGAUGGUGAAUGGAUUCAAGGAGUCGAGAGUUCGAUCUUUCGAGGAUGUAGUCUUGAUUUACCUUUUUAUGGUUUUACAUGUAUUUUUCCGCACUUUCUAUGUAACAAUGUUUUUUUACUUUAAGUUAUGUUUUGUUUUAAAGACAAUGGGUACCCAUAUCCUACUUAUUUUAUGAAAGUAACUUUUGUUUCUACAA
Molecule: long non-coding RNA, 1614 nt
Organism: Humulus lupulus (European hop)
Lineage: Eukaryota; Viridiplantae; Streptophyta; Magnoliopsida; Rosales; Cannabaceae
Exons: 2
Source: RefSeq, a predicted model, not a curated record